AUUAGCGCUGAGGCGCAGCCGGCUCCCGCCCAGAGGCCCGGAAUAGGCGCCGAGUUAUAAAUAGUGCGCCCGCAGGUGUGGGGGGAGUCGGCGGGAGGGGGCAACCCUGGCAGCCACGGCCCCUUCAGGCCCCCAGACCCACUCAUUCAGGACCCCGCCCACACAGAGCCGUGCCUUUCUUCCGCCAGAAGCCCUCUCCCUCCACGCGCGGCAAGCAUCUAACUCUCCCGCAGCUGCCCCUGAGCGCACGUGGCCCAGCCAGUCCGGGCACCUGGCUGUCACUCAGAAUCGCUGUCCCCAGCCCCAGGUUUCAGGCCGGCCCCCUCGACUCCGCCCCCUCCCUGGCGGAACGCAAGGCGGGACCCACUUGAGAUGGGCGGGAGCCCAGGCCAAUGGGCGGACUGGGCGGUGGAGUGCAGGGGGUGGGGCGGAGCAGCGGCGGAGGGCUGGAUGGGGGUCGGGGGCGGAGCUCGAGUUAAGGUGGACUGGGAGAGA
Prionailurus viverrinus (fishing cat) is the source of this 495-nucleotide long non-coding RNA. RefSeq lists it as uncharacterized. NCBI's taxonomy places the organism in Eukaryota, Metazoa, Chordata, Mammalia, Carnivora, Felidae. The transcript has 3 exons. The record is from RefSeq and is a predicted model, not a curated record.